CCUAGUGAGACCAUUAAGUGAUUACUAAUAUCCUUUUAAUAAUUCCUUGUUUACCCAUCUGCUAUUGCAACACUGAAUAUUUUUGUUGAUAUAGUGUCUAAUAUGUUCAUCAUAAACUGUCAUAGGAUGGACUGAUUUUGAUCAAGGGACAGGGAGUGGAUCACUGGUGGGGCAUUGGUAUGAUGAACUACCAAACUCUGUGAAGGAAAGAGUGCAUUCCUUAGGAUUGCAUCCUUUGGUGGAAGGAAUUAAUCAAUCAGCAAUCGAUGCUCCUUUAAUGCAAGCUUUGGCUGAGAAAUGGUGAGACACUACAGAUACAUUUAGUUUUGAGCAAUUUGGAGAAACGACAAUGACACCUCUUGAUUUCAGUACGAUAUCUGGAUUACUCGUGAGUGGGAAAAAUAUCAUAUAUGAUAAAAUAAUUCACAGGAAGGAUGAGACCAUGAACCAGAUUGGUAGGGGAGCCACUACUUUCAUGUCACAACACCAUAACAACAACUGGAGGCCUAUGGAAAGCGUGGGAGAUCUGGGCUAUAGAAUACUUCCCCUGUCUCCACGUAAUUAAUGUAUUCCCCAAGAUGAUUGUGUGGAAUGACACAGACCCUCCAAGGAUGGAUCACUCAAGGCUGAUUCAUUUUUAGAGGAAAAAACUAACUGACAUACCUUUCCAACAGGUAUGCAUCAGUUUUGAUAGGCAGAAAUUUGGAACAACAGAAAUUUUACUACCAUUAAUAAAUUUCAUGUUUUAUUUUAAAGUAACAAUUUAUUGUUUUCUAACUUCAAAUGGUUGGUGAAUUGGAAUCCUUGGGGUGAAAUUGAGUACGAACCGAGUUACAUCAAACAAAGUAAAUAGGCAAACAGGAGGAGAAUGAGUGGUACCUCGCAGAGCGAGUAAUACGCAAAGUUGUGGAUUUAGGCCAACUAAUCUCCCAAAAAAACAGCCAAAAUCGAUGCUGUCAAGGGGGAAGCUAAUGUGGAUAACAACGCCAUGGUCUUUCAUGGUAAGCCAGCUGCAAGACCAUGACAUUGUUAGUUGUUAAAAUCUUCAUGGAUUCCUAUAUGAAAUGAUCAAUGCUUAUGUGUCUUAGGAAACUUGGUUGGACCAGGAUAGAGGAGAGCCACAUCUGAAUGGCAAAACUGUGCCAGUAUAGGUAGGCUUAUUAGCUUAUAAAUAGUUACUAUAUAUACUGCUAAAGUAUUUUCAGCUUGUGUAAAUGUUUGGUUAAAUAUCUUGUGUUUGGUAAAACACUAAGGACGUCACCAAGAAUAUUGCUGCAGUGGCAAACAAGCUAGAAAAGAACAUACACUUAAAAUUCUCAACGAUUACGCAAAUAUAGGAUUUGCACCAACAAAGAAUGGGACUAGGAGGUGGCACCUCAAAGGAGAAACAUUAGUUUGUUCAACUGAUGAAUUGCGUUUAUAGUAUUUAGGUUUACCAACCAUGUAAUGUAAUUUCUGAAAUUAGUUUCAUUGAUAGUAAGGUCAUGCAGGAAUAAUAUUACACAAUUCAGAUGAGAUUGUGUACCGUGUUCAAACUUUUCAGUGUCAUUACCAAUUUCAUUCAGUAGUGUCUGUUUAUAUUCAUUGAAAAUCAUCUUUAAAAAUGCAAUUAUACCUUCUUUUUCCACCUCACG
Molecule: long non-coding RNA, 1634 nt
Organism: Cannabis sativa
Lineage: Eukaryota; Viridiplantae; Streptophyta; Magnoliopsida; Rosales; Cannabaceae
Exons: 3
Source: RefSeq, a predicted model, not a curated record